UUACAGGAAUCAGUGUCAUUCAAGGACAUAACUGUAGACUUCAGUAGGGAUGACUGGCAACAAUUAGACCUUGCUCAGAAAAGCCUGUACAGAGAAGUGAUGCUGGAAAACUAUUUCAACUUGAUCUCAGUGGGAUGUCAAGUUCCCAAACCAGAAGUCAUCUUCAGCUUGGAACAAGAAGAGCCAUGUAUGCUGGAUGGUGAGAUCUCCGGUCAGAGCUGUCCAGAGGACUGAAAGUGAACUUGGUAAUGAAAAGGUACCAGUGGAUAAAAAGUCAAGGAAAGGGUCAAGGUGAAUGACAUGAGAGUGGAGAGAAAAAAAGACAGCAGGGACCAGACGAACCCAAGGUACCUGUGGAUUGACUGCCCGCCCACCUGCUGGAGCCACGAACAUUGCCUGCUCCCAGUCUUCCUGAUUUGGCAUAUGGUUCUCCCAGAUCUGCUAUUAAUUUCACAUCCUCCAAAAAAGAAAACUGACCAGCUUACCAAACUCACAAGAGUCCAGUGUGCACCAGAAAGCUAAUUUAUUGAUCUGCAGCAGAGAUCUGUCCAACCUCAGGGUGUCUUCAUAACUGUAGUUUCCUUGUGCAGUGACAGUAUGCGUGUGUCAAACAGCCUCAGUGCUUAUGGGCUGACCUGCAGGUCUACUACAGGAAUGUAUUAGACUCUGGAAAUGAUGUUAGAUGAAAAGCAAAUUCAAGCAAUUUUCUUGUUCAAGUUCGAAAUGGGUCAUAAAGCAGCAGAGACAACUUGCAACAUCAACAAUGCAUUGGCCCAGGAACUGCUAAUGAAUGUACAGUGCAGUGGUGGUUCAAGAAGUUUUUCAAAGGAGACCAGAGCCUUGAAGAUGAGGAGCUUCAUAAAGGGCCAUAAGAAGUUGACAACGACCAAUUGAAAGAAACCAUUGAACCUGAUUCUCUUACAACUACAUGAGAAGUUGCCAAAGAACUCAACAUUGACCAUUCUACAGUUGUUUGUCAUUUAAAGCAAAUUGGAGAAGUGAAAAAGCAUGAUAAGUGGGUGCCUCAUGAGCUGAGUGAAAAUAAAAGAGAAUUAUCGUUUUGAAGUGUUGCCUUCUCUUACUGUAUGCAACAAUGAACCAUUUCUUGAUUGGAUAGUGAUGUGCACAAAAAGUGGAUUUUAUAUGACCAGUGAUGAACAACUCAGUGGCUGGACUGAGAAGAAGCUCUAAAGCACGUCCCAAAGCCAAACUUGUACCAAAAAAAGGACACUGUCACUAUUUGGUGGUUUGCUGCUGGUCUGGUCCACUACAGCUUUCUGAAUUCUAGCAAAGCCCUUACAUCUGAGAAGUAUGCUCAGCAAAUCAGUGAGAUGCACUGAAAACUGUAAUACCUGCAGCCAGCAUUGGUCAACAGAAAGGGCCCAAUUCUUCUCCAUGACAAUGCCCGACUGCGUAACACAACCAACACUUCAAAAGUUGAAUGAAUUGGGCUACGACGUUUUGCCUCAUCCACCGUAUUCACCUGACCUCUCACCAACUGCCUACCACUUCCUCAAGCAUCUUGACAACGUUUCACAGGGGUCCACAACCAGCAGGAUGCAGAGAAUGCUUUCCAAGGAUUUGUCAAAUCUUGAAGCAUGGACUUUUAAUCUACGGGAAUCAAACAAACUUAUUUCUUGUUGGGAAAAAUGUGUUGAUUGUUAUGGCUCCUAUUUUGAUUAAUAAAGAUGUGCUUGAGCCUAGUUAUAAUGAUUUAAAAUUCAUGAUCCAAAACCACAAUUACUUUUGCACCAGCCUAAUAUUUCAGAGGAAGUGGGGCAGGUUUAUAUUCUGCCAUAUGGGGAAUCCUGGAUUGCCCUACCCUGAACUUGUGAGUUAUUCUAGUGAUACUCUCAUGCCUCUAGAAAUUAGCUCAGGGUAGCUGACUGCCUGGCCAGCUGCUUAAAGUGGCUCUGAUUUUAAAAUAUCGUGAGGGUAUAUAUUUUUCUUGUUUGAACUCUCAAUGCCCAGCUGUUUUAAUAUAGGUUUUAUUCUUAUUUAGGUAUGGCAAGACCAGCGGCUCAAAAGAGGACUGCCAUUGAAAAGAUAAUUUGUUACUCACAGUUCCCAAGAAGAAGAGGCACACCAUGCCAUGGGGCCAAAGGGAGGAUGGGGAAGCGCCAGGGUUGGUCAGGAGGCAGAGGGAGUGAAAAAAUUUGCAAGAGCCUUUAUUAUGGUUUCCAUGAGCCGGAACACGUGAGGCAGGGUAAGCAGGCUUAGGAUUGGCUGGUUUAAAUAAUUUCAGUGGGCUCUGGGGCAUAGGGGCUGUUCCUGGUUGUCUGAUACCUGGCCUUAGGAUAAUUAGAGAAGGGAAAUAGUGGCCCAGAGUGUGAGAGGGCAAUGAAGGAGGUGGUGGGAGUAGAGUCUGGGUAGGUUGCUUUGUAUUUGAAAGAUGAGCUCCCAGAUGAGUUGUUUCCCCACUCUAGGAAUUGACCUUCUGGGUCAGCAAAGUCCUAGAAGCCAAAGCAUCAGAACCCAGAAAAUAAAGGACAUGGUUGAUACACUACCACAAAGUCAUGCUCACCGACUGGUGACGUUCUGAGCUUCAACACUGAGAAGAUGGGCUGAACAGUGAGCUGCAGUGCUGAGCAGGAAAGACAAGGUCUCUGCGUUUGUGGAGUGGGGCCAAUGGAGUACAUGAACUUCUUGGGUUUCUGUCACUGCGGAUUGAAUCUCUGCUGUUUUCACAAGAAUAUAUUUUUUGGAGGUGUGUGUGAAAGGGAGGCAGCAGAGGGAUCAGUUCCCUAUGGGUCCUGCAGCUCAUGUGCCAUUUUAAAGAGUCCUCUGUGCCCUCGGCCCCCAUCACAGGGUGGGCAAUGAGGUCCUUCAUCCCAUGUGAGAUGAGAGGACCCCCUGUAUGCGGGGCACUUUGUGAAGUGCUUUCACACGCCUGACUUCCUGUGUCCCUCAUGACACACUCUGAGGUGGGUAUCAUGUGUGUUCUGGCUUCUCAAAUGUAGAAAACAUAGACUCCACAAGAUGAAUAGCUCACCUGAAGUUACCCAACUGCUAGGCCGGGUGGAAUUUGAACCUUGCCUUUCUUAGAGCUUGUCAAAGCUACAUGCAGUGUUGUUUUCUGGUGUGAAGUUCAUCUUGGCUAUGGGAAAUCAAACAAGUUAACUUAGUGAGUUUUACACUUUUUUAUCUCCUCUUUCCCUGCUCCCCCAACAGUGGAUAGCAUUUUUGCAUCUUUCACAGUUGGGAGCAUUCUGCUGCCACUUUGGCUGGAAAGUGGGGAGGGGAGGGAGACCUUAUGGGAGUUUUCAAUGGGCAUCCUCACCCCAGAUUUCCAGGUUUAUGAGUUUAGGAAGAAAAAGAAAUGUAGACAUGAUACUCACCAAAGCCUCUAUACCACCAAGAUUUUAGGUGGGAGGUCACAUCACCAAUAGGAAACACCAGUUAGGCUGCCCCCAGCCUUACUGUGUCCAUGCAUGUGGUCUAUCCCUGCCUUCCUUUCUGACAGUGGCCAGCAAGUCAGUGAAUCAGCUCUAGAAUGAGCCAUAAGUGAGGAUAUUCACGGUUUUUAUUCUGCCUAUUGUUUUCUGCCUUUCCAGAUUUGUAUAGAAGUUACUCAGAAGAGAGAAGGCAUGUGACAAUUUGAGUUUGUCCUUGAUGCCUUUGGCUGUGUUUUUGCAAGGCUGUGUCUAUAUACAUGAAGGGGUCAGUAAGUAGAGAAAUUUGAGAGGUUCUAAACAUGCCCUGUCCUUUCGGAUUCUAUCAGGCUUAUUCUUACAGGCAGAACCAUCCCAGUUGUAACCCUUGUGUCAGCAGUUCUGCUGGCUGAGAGCACAGAUGAAUAUUUAGACUGGUGGCAGGUUUCUUAGUGCACGUCCCUGCCUGGAAACCUGGAAAACGCACCAUAGCACUACAGCUUGUAAGCAUGAUAUUCUAGCUUGUCAGGAAAAGUUUUAAUAAGAAAUGUCAGGCAAUUGAAAGUCAAAUUCCCUUGCCAGAGGAACUAGAAAAUCUGUUUCAGGAAGGAGGCAUUCUGCAGAGCUGUACCUGCAGCAUGGAAGCUGCCCGAGGCCGGUGGUUCCCUGGCGGCUCUUCGUGCUAAGGGGCCUUACAGGAGAUUGGUUUGCUGGCUGCAUGCACACUGUCCACUGCUUGCUUCCCUGCAGGUUUUUAGCCUCAGCAGAUCUAGAGUAUGUCUUGGAAGUCUGCAUUCUUAAUAAGUGAGAAAAGCUUAGACAGAUGGCUCAGUAAAUGCCAAAGUCAUGUCAUAAUUAGGUCACAGCCGGACACUAUCCUUACAGAUAUGUUGGGGACAUCAUAUGAACUAUAUCUUCUUAUUUUC
Long non-coding RNA from Piliocolobus tephrosceles (Ugandan red Colobus), 4297 nucleotides. RefSeq lists it as uncharacterized. NCBI's taxonomy places the organism in Eukaryota, Metazoa, Chordata, Mammalia, Primates, Cercopithecidae. The record is from RefSeq and is a predicted model, not a curated record. The transcript is spliced from 7 exons.